UACAGAGGUCCCGAGCGUUUGUUCGGAUUCAUUGGGCGUAAAGGGUGCGUAGGCGGUCUUCUAAGUUUGAUGUGAAAUCCCGGGGCUCAACCCUGGAAUUGCAUUGAAUACUGGAGGACUAGAGUACUGGAGAGGAAACUGGAAUUUACGGUGUAGCAGUGAAAUGCGUAGAGAUCGUAAGGAAGACCAGUGGCGAAGGCGAGUUUCUGGACAGUAACUGACGCUGAGG
Molecule: ribosomal RNA, 229 nt
Filed under: uncultured bacterium
Lineage: Bacteria
Description: partial 16S ribosomal RNA
Rfam family: Bacterial small subunit ribosomal RNA
Source: RNAcentral